CGACACGGGGAGGUAGUGACAAUAAAUACUGAUACAGGGCUCUUUUGGGUCUUGUAAUUGGAAUGAGUACAAUUUAAAUCCCUUAACGAGGAACAAUUGGAGGGCAAGUCUGGUGCCAGCAGCCGCGGUAAUUCCAGCUCCAAUAGCGUGUAUUAAAGUUGUUGCAGUUAAAAAGCUCGUAGUUGAACCUUGGGCCUGGCUGGCCGGUCCGCCUCACCGCGUGUACUGGUCCGGCCGGGCCCUUCCUUCUGGGGAACCUCAUGCCCUUCACUGGGCGUGUUGGGGAACCAGGACUUUUACUUUGAAAAAAUUAGAGUGUUCAAAGCAGGCCUUUGCUCGAAUACAUUAGCAUGGAAUAAUAGAAUAGGACGUGUGGUUCUAUUUUGUUGGUUUCUAGGACCGCCGUAAUGAUUAAUAGGGAUAGUCGGGGGCAUCAGUAUUCAAUCGUCAGAGGUGAAAUUCUUGGAUUGAUUGAAGACUAACUACUGCGAAAGCAUUUGCCAAGGAUGUUUUCAUUAAUCAGUGAACGAAAGUUAGGGGAUCGAAGACGAUCAGAUACCGUCGUAGUCUUAACCAUAAACUAUGCCGACUAGGGAUCGGACGGUGUUAGUAUUUUGACCCGUUCGGCACCUUACGAGAAAUCAAAGUUUUUGGGUUCUGGGGGGAGUAUGGUCGCAAGGCUGAAACUUAAAGAAAUUGACGGAAGGGCACCACCAGGCGUGGAGCCUG
This 729-nucleotide ribosomal RNA is filed under the name uncultured marine eukaryote. Its description in RNAcentral is "SSU rRNA". It matches the Rfam family "Eukaryotic small subunit ribosomal RNA", at positions 452 to 1185 of the family's 1831-position model. The record is from RNAcentral.